This is a long non-coding RNA of Mastomys coucha (southern multimammate mouse), 292 nucleotides long. RefSeq lists it as uncharacterized. NCBI's taxonomy places the organism in Eukaryota, Metazoa, Chordata, Mammalia, Rodentia, Muridae. The record is from RefSeq and is a predicted model, not a curated record. The transcript has 3 exons.
UCUAUUCUUCUUUAACUGAAACCAGUCUGAGGAUAUGGCUGAGGCUGAGUCUCUGAAUUCCUAGUACACAUCUGCCUCUUACAUAGUCAGGCCCAGUUAGAGGAGUUGAAAUGUUUUCUUCCUUUGGAGCAACAGAAGCAUAUGCUGUCCAAAUGUCCUUAUGUAUCUCAGGGUGAGCAGCCGAGAGAGCAGGACUGCGUGUCCUACCCAGCAUCCACUUCAGUCCUGAAUUCCUCAGGCCUGUUUCCUCAACUAUAAAGCAGCCUCCUGCAUACCAGGAUUAUGCAACCAC